CUGGUAACAAUGGAAACCGAAGUUUUAUGUUUAUCUUCAGGCCAGGAUGGAUGGAGAUAGCAACAGUACAUGAUCUUCCAAAUUGACCUGCUAAUGACCUCAAUCCUGGCCUGGAGGGACUAGUAUCUCUUGGAGUGAGAGGAUAUGUAACUCUGAUGCCAACUCAAUUCUGGGACUCC
Chelonoidis abingdonii (Abingdon island giant tortoise) is the source of this 179-nucleotide unclassified non-coding RNA. NCBI's taxonomy places the organism in Eukaryota, Metazoa, Chordata, Testudines, Testudinidae. The record is from Ensembl.